This 481-nucleotide ribosomal RNA is filed under the name uncultured bacterium. RNAcentral's name for it is "partial 16S ribosomal RNA". It matches the Rfam family "Bacterial small subunit ribosomal RNA", at positions 355 to 828 of the family's 1533-position model. The record is from RNAcentral.
UAGGGAAUCUUCCACAAUGGACGCAAGUCUGAUGGAGCAACGCCGCGUGAGUGAAGAAGGCUUUCGGGUCGUAAAACUCUGUUGUUGGAGAAGAAUGGUCGGCAGAGUAACUGUUGUCGGCGUGACGGUAUCCAACCAGAAAGCCACGGCUAACUACGUGCCAGCAGCCGCGGUAAUACGUAGGUGGCAAGCGUUAUCCGGAUUUAUUGGGCGUAAAGCGAGCGCAGGCGGUUUUUUAAGUCUGAUGUGAAAGCCCUCGGCUUAACCGAGGAAGCGCAUCGGAAACUGGGAAACUUGAGUGCAGAAGAGGACAGUGGAACUCCAUGUGUAGCGGUGAAAUGCGUAGAUAUAUGGAAGAACACCAGUGGCGAAGGCGGCUGUCUGGUCUGUAACUGACGCUGAGGCUCGAAAGCAUGGGUAGCGAACAGGAUUAGAUACCCUGGUAGUCCAUGCCGUAAACGAUGAAUGCUAGGUGUUGGAG